RNAcentral lists this ribosomal RNA (520 nucleotides) under uncultured Glomus. RNAcentral's name for it is "SSU rRNA". It matches the Rfam family "Eukaryotic small subunit ribosomal RNA", at positions 569 to 1090 of the family's 1831-position model. The record is from RNAcentral. Lineage: Eukaryota; Fungi; Glomeromycota; Glomeromycetes; Glomerales; Glomeraceae.
AGCAGCCGCGGUAAUUCCAGCUCCAAUAGCGUAUAUUAAAGUUGUUGCAGUUAAAAAAGCUCGUAGUUGAAUUUCGGGAUCAAAUUGUCGGUCGUGCCUCGGUACGAACUGGUAUUAUUGGUUCCUACCUUCUGAAGAACCGCGAUGUCAUUAAUUUGGUGUCGUGGGGAAUCAGGACUGUUACUUUGAAAAAAUUAGAGUGUUUAAAGCAGGCUCGCGCUUGAAUACAUUAGCAUGGAAUAAUGAAAUAGGACGUUUGAUUCUAUUUUGUUGGUUUCUAGGAUCGACGUAAUGAUUAAUAGGGAUAGUUGGGGGCAUUAGUAUUCAAUUGUCAGAGGUGAAAUUCUUGGAUUUAUUGAAGACUAACUACUGCGAAAGCAUUUGCCAAGGAUGUUUUCAUUAAUCAAGAACGAAAGUUAGGGGAUCGAAGACGAUCAGAUACCGUCGUAGUCUUAACCCAUAAACUAUGCCGACUAGGGAUCGGAUGAUGUUAAUUUUUAAUGACUCAUUCGGCGCCUUA